GAUGAACGCUGGCGGCGUGCCUAAUACAUGCAAGUCGAGCGAACAGAUAAGGAGCUUGCUCCUUUGACGUUAGCGGCGGACGGGUGAGUAACACGUGGGUAACCUACCUAUAAGACUGGAAUAACUCCGGGAAACCGGGGCUAAUGCCGGAUAACAUUUAGAACCGCAUGGUUCUAAAGUGAAAGAUGGUUUUGCUAUCACUUAUAGAUGGACCCGCGCCGUAUUAGCUAGUUGGUAAGGUAACGGCUUACCAAGGCAACGAUACGUAGCCGACCUGAGAGGGUGAUCGGCCACACUGGAACUGAGACACGGUCCAGACCCCUACGGGAGGCAGCAGUAGGGAAUCUUCCGCAAUGGGCGAAAGCCUGACGGAGCAACGCCGCGUGAGUGAUGAAGGUCUUCGGAUCGUAAAACUCUGUUAUUAGGGAAGAACAAAUGUGUAAGUAACUGUGCACGUCUUGACGGUACCUAAUCAGAAAGCCACGGCUAACUACGUG
Molecule: ribosomal RNA, 497 nt
Filed under: uncultured bacterium
Lineage: Bacteria
Description: partial 16S ribosomal RNA
Rfam family: Bacterial small subunit ribosomal RNA
Source: RNAcentral